RNAcentral lists this long non-coding RNA (1218 nucleotides) under Setaria italica (foxtail millet). RNAcentral's name for it is "long non-coding RNA (SITA_LNC007394)". Lineage: Eukaryota; Viridiplantae; Streptophyta; Magnoliopsida; Poales; Poaceae. The record is from RNAcentral.
UAAAGUUUAAUACGUGAGAGCCAAGCAGGCCCUAAGACAAUUCACGAAAUGGCAUGAACCUAUCGCACUCCAUUGUUGCAUUACGGAUAUUAUUUAAGGAAGUUGCCUUUUGCAUCUGACAAGGGCAGAAGUGAUAUGUUCGAAUCCAUGUCUUGUUGUCCCAGUGCCUGCUGAAUCGUCCCACACUAUUCUUUGCUAGCAUAUUUUGCAGGCUGUAACCUGGUUCCUGCUCGAUCCCAGUCAGAGGCAAAGUACUGUAGCACCAGUGUCGCUUUUAACUUCACCAGAUGAUUUGGUUUACAAAAAGAGAGGUGAUUAGCAACGGAAUCCACCCGUCGGCUGCACAGGAAGUAUUGUAUUGUUUUCAGGUCCUGAUAGUGAACCUGACAUUGAUGAUGACUCUAUUUUACAAUGGAUGAGUUAUUAACCUCGGUACUGAGUCAACUGCGCUACUAACCUCGGCACUGAGUGAACUGCUGAUUCAUGAACCUUUACCUUCUGACUGGGUGCUUAACCUCUCAUGCAAGGAUAGUGCAUUGAUCCCAGUGAAUUUUGGCAGUGAAAUACACUAAUGGACACAGAGAACAAGCACAGCAAUCUGAUGCCAAAAAGAAAUCCCUUCCACUCUUAUUACGCACGUUAUUCCAUUCAUUCUCCACUUUGCAAGGGAGAAAACAGUAUGCUAUGCAUUGUUGUUAUACAUACAUACAUACGCAUCAGCUUCGGGUAAUGUACUAGUGUCACCAACUUCUCCGGUAGCCGCGUUCCCUCAUCGAUUCCAUGGUGGUUCAGGUCAGGGAACGCCCAGUGUUCCUCCCGCACAUAUACACCUCGUUUUCUAUCUCGCCCUAUGGUGUCGGUACGGACCUCUAUGGUGUAAGUACACUGGCAGAUAUGGCUAUUUUACCUCCCAGACUUGGUUGCCAAACAGGCCCUAAGGGGGUGUUUGGGAAACCCCUGUUAAAGUUUAACACCUGUCACAUCGGAUGUUUGGAUGCUAAUUAGGAGUACUAAACAUAAGCUAAUUACAAAACUAAUUGCACAGACGGAGUAUAAUUCGCGAGACGAAUCUAUUAAGCCUAAUUAGUCCAUGAUUUGACAAUGUGGUGCUACAGUAACCAUUUGCUAAUGAUGGAUUAAUUAGGCUUAAUAGAUUCGUCUCGCGAAUUAGCACAAGGUUCUGCAAUUAGUUUUAUAAUUAGCUCAUAUUUAGUCCUC